Molecule: transfer RNA, 69 nt
Filed under: Nodularia douglasiae
Lineage: Eukaryota; Metazoa; Mollusca; Bivalvia; Unionida; Unionidae
Description: tRNA-Glu
Source: RNAcentral
GCUAAUUAAGUGUUAAAUGUAUCAGCACAUUGACUUUUCACGUCAAAAGAGCACCCAGUGCAUUUAGUU